GGGUACGAUCAUACCAUCAUUAAUGCACCGGAUCCCAUCAGAACUCCGCAGUUAAACGCACUUGGGGUAGAGUAGUACUCGGAUGUGUGACCUCCCGGAAAGUCCUAGUGUUGCACCCU
Picea glauca (white spruce) is the source of this 119-nucleotide non-coding RNA. The record is from Rfam. NCBI's taxonomy places the organism in Eukaryota, Viridiplantae, Streptophyta, Pinopsida, Pinales, Pinaceae.